Molecule: ribosomal RNA, 2925 nt
Filed under: Escherichia coli
Lineage: Bacteria; Pseudomonadati; Pseudomonadota; Gammaproteobacteria; Enterobacterales; Enterobacteriaceae
Description: 23S ribosomal RNA
Rfam family: Bacterial large subunit ribosomal RNA
Source: RNAcentral
GGGUUGUGAGGUUAAGCGACUAAGCGUACACGGUGGAUGCCCUGGCAGUCAGAGGCGAUGAAGGACGUGCUAAUCUGCGAUAAGCGUCGGUAAGGUGAUAUGAACCGUUAUAACCGGCGAUUUCCGAAUGGGGAAACCCAGUGUGUUUCGACACACUAUCAUUAACUGAAUCCAUAGGUUAAUGAGGCGAACCGGGGGAACUGAAACAUCUAAGUACCCCGAGGAAAAGAAAUCAACCGAGAUUCCCCCAGUAGCGGCGAGCGAACGGGGAGGAGCCCAGAGCCUGAAUCAGUGUGUGUGUUAGUGGAAGCGUCUGGAAAGGCGCGCGAUACAGGGUGACAGCCCCGUACACAAAAAUGCACAUGCUGUGAGCUCGAUGAGUAGGGCGGGACACGUGGUAUCCUGUCUGAAUAUGGGGGGACCAUCCUCCAAGGCUAAAUACUCCUGACUGACCGAUAGUGAACCAGUACCGUGAGGGAAAGGCGAAAAGAACCCCGGCGAGGGGAGUGAAAAAGAACCUGAAACCGUGUACGUACAAGCAGUGGGAGCCUCUUAAUGGGGUGACUGCGUACCUUUUGUAUAAUGGGUCAGCGACUUAUAUUCUGUAGCAAGGUUAACCGAAUAGGGGAGCCGAAGGGAAACCGAGUCUUAACUGGGCGUUAAGUUGCAGGGUAUAGACCCGAAACCCGGUGAUCUAGCCAUGGGCAGGUUGAAGGUUGGGUAACACUAACUGGAGGACCGAACCGACUAAUGUUGAAAAAUUAGCGGAUGACUUGUGGCUGGGGGUGAAAGGCCAAUCAAACCGGGAGAUAGCUGGUUCUCCCCGAAAGCUAUUUAGGUAGCGCCUCGUGAAUUCAUCUCCGGGGGUAGAGCACUGUUUCGGCAAGGGGGUCAUCCCGACUUACCAACCCGAUGCAAACUGCGAAUACCGGAGAAUGUUAUCACGGGAGACACACGGCGGGUGCUAACGUCCGUCGUGAAGAGGGAAACAACCCAGACCGCCAGCUAAGGUCCCAAAGUCAUGGUUAAGUGGGAAACGAUGUGGGAAGGCCCAGACAGCCAGGAUGUUGGCUUAGAAGCAGCCAUCAUUUAAAGAAAGCGUAAUAGCUCACUGGUCGAGUCGGCCUGCGCGGAAGAUGUAACGGGGCUAAACCAUGCACCGAAGCUGCGGCAGCGACACUAUGUGUUGUUGGGUAGGGGAGCGUUCUGUAAGCCUGUGAAGGUGGCCUGUGAGGGUUGCUGGAGGUAUCAGAAGUGCGAAUGCUGACAUAAGUAACGAUAAAGCGGGUGAAAAGCCCGCUCGCCGGAAGACCAAGGGUUCCUGUCCAACGUUAAUCGGGGCAGGGUGAGUCGACCCCUAAGGCGAGGCCGAAAGGCGUAGUCGAUGGGAAACAGGUUAAUAUUCCUGUACUUGGUGUUACUGCGAAGGGGGGACGGAGAAGGCUAUGUUGGCCGGGCGACGGUUGUCCCGGUUUAAGCGUGUAGGCUGGUUUUCCAGGCAAAUCCGGAAAAUCAAGGCUGAGGCGUGAUGACGAGGCACUACGGUGCUGAAGCAACAAAUGCCCUGCUUCCAGGAAAAGCCUCUAAGCAUCAGGUAACAUCAAAUCGUACCCCAAACCGACACAGGUGGUCAGGUAGAGAAUACCAAGGCGCUUGAGAGAACUCGGGUGAAGGAACUAGGCAAAAUGGUGCCGUAACUUCGGGAGAAGGCACGCUGAUAUGUAGGUGAAGCGACUUGCUCGUGGAGCUGAAAUCAGUCGAAGAUACCAGCUGGCUGCAACUGUUUAUUAAAAACACAGCACUGUGCAAACACGAAAGUGGACGUAUACGGUGUGACGCCUGCCCGGUGCCGGAAGGUUAAUUGAUGGGGUUAGCGGUAACGCGAAGCUCUUGAUCGAAGCCCCGGUAAACGGCGGCCGUAACUAUAACGGUCCUAAGGUAGCGAAAUUCCUUGUCGGGUAAGUUCCGACCUGCACGAAUGGCGUAAUGAUGGCCAGGCUGUCUCCACCCGAGACUCAGUGAAAUUGAACUCGCUGUGAAGAUGCAGUGUACCCGCGGCAAGACGGAAAGACCCCGUGAACCUUUACUAUAGCUUGACACUGAACAUUGAGCCUUGAUGUGUAGGAUAGGUGGGAGGCUUUGAAGUGUGGACGCCAGUCUGCAUGGAGCCGACCUUGAAAUACCACCCUUUAAUGUUUGAUGUUCUAACGUUGGCCCGUAAUCCGGGUUGCGGACAGUGUCUGGUGGGUAGUUUGACUGGGGCGGUCUCCUCCUAAAGAGUAACGGAGGAGCACGAAGGUUGGCUAAUCCUGGUCGGACAUCAGGAGGUUAGUGCAAUGGCAUAAGCCAGCUUGACUGCGAGCGUGACGGCGCGAGCAGGUGCGAAAGCAGGUCAUAGUGAUCCGGUGGUUCUGAAUGGAAGGGCCAUCGCUCAACGGAUAAAAGGUACUCCGGGGAUAACAGGCUGAUACCGCCCAAGAGUUCAUAUCGACGGCGGUGUUUGGCACCUCGAUGUCGGCUCAUCACAUCCUGGGGCUGAAGUAGGUCCCAAGGGUAUGGCUGUUCGCCAUUUAAAGUGGUACGCGAGCUGGGUUUAGAACGUCGUGAGACAGUUCGGUCCCUAUCUGCCGUGGGCGCUGGAGAACUGAGGGGGGCUGCUCCUAGUACGAGAGGACCGGAGUGGACGCAUCACUGGUGUUCGGGUUGUCAUGCCAAUGGCACUGCCCGGUAGCUAAAUGCGGAAGAGAUAAGUGCUGAAAGCAUCUAAGCACGAAACUUGCCCCGAGAUGAGUUCUCCCUGAGACUUAGAGUCUCCUGAAGGAACGUUGAAGACGACGACGUUGAUAGGCCGGGUGUGUAAGCGCAGCGAUGCGUUGAGCUAACCGGUACUAAUGAACCGUGAGGCUUAACCUUACAACGCCGAAG